Molecule: ribosomal RNA, 521 nt
Filed under: uncultured Methanosarcina sp.
Lineage: Archaea; Methanobacteriati; Methanobacteriota; Methanomicrobia; Methanosarcinales; Methanosarcinaceae
Description: bacterial SSU rRNA
Rfam family: Archaeal small subunit ribosomal RNA
Source: RNAcentral
UGCAGCAGGCGCGAAAUCUUUACAAUGCGGGUCACCGUGAUAAGGGGACACCGAGUGCCAGCAUCAUAUGCUGGCUGUCCAGAUGUGUAAAAUACAUCUGUUAGCAAGGGCCGGGCAAGACCGGUGCCAGCCGCCGCGGUAACACCGGCGGCCCGAGUGGUGAUCGUGAUUAUUGGGUCUAAAGGGUCCGUAGCCGGUUUGGUCAGUCUUCCGGGAAAUCUGACAGCUUAACUGGUAGGCUUUCGGGGGAUACUGCCAGACUCGGAACCGGGAGAGGUAAGAGGUACUACAGGGGUAGGAGUGAAAUCUUGUAAUCCCUCUAGGACCACCGGUGGUGAAGGCGUCUUACCAGAACGGGUUAGCCGGUGAGGGACGAAACCUGGGGCCACGAACCGGAUUAGAUACGCCGGGUAGUACCAGCGGUAAAAUAUAGUGCGUUAGAUGUCAGGCAAGCCGCGAUCCGUCUUUGGUGCCGCAGAGUAUGCCGGAAGCGACGCCAGCUGGAAGUUGUCGCGAUUCUU